AGUGAACGCUGGCGGUAGGCCUAACACAUGCAAGUCGAACGGCAGCACAGUAAGAGCUUGCUCUUACGGGUGGCGAGUGGCGGACGGGUGAGGAAUACAUCGGAAUCUACUUUUUCGUGGGGGAUAACGUAGGGAAACUUACGCUAAUACCGCAUACGACCUACGGGUGAAAGCAGGGGAUCUUCGGACCUUGCGCGAUGGAAUGAGCCGAUGUCGGAUUAGCUAGUUGGCGGGGGAGAGGCACACCAAGGCGACGAUCCGAAGCUCGUCUGAGAGGAACAUCAGCCACAUUGGAACUGAGAAAGAUCACCGACACCGAGAGGGGGAAGCGGUGGGGACUAUUGGGCAAUGGAGGCGAGCCGGAUCCAGCCAUACCGCGGAAGUGAUGAAGGACUUCGGGCUGGAGAGCCAUGUAGGUCUGAAAGAAGUACAGCACUUUAAUCCCCCACUGUUCUGACAGUACCCAAAGAAUAAGCACCGGCUAACUUCGUG
RNAcentral lists this ribosomal RNA (492 nucleotides) under uncultured bacterium. RNAcentral describes it as "partial 16S ribosomal RNA". It matches the Rfam family "Bacterial small subunit ribosomal RNA", at positions 29 to 507 of the family's 1533-position model. The record is from RNAcentral.